CCUACGGGAGGCUGCAGUAGGGAAUCUUUCACAAUGGGCGAAAGCCUGAUGGAGCAACGCCGCGUGCAGGAUGAAGGCCUUCGGGUUGUAAACUGCUUUUAUAAGCGUGGAAUAUGAUGGUAACUUUUGAAUAAGGAUCGGCUAACUACGUGCCAGCAGCCGCGGUCAUACGUAGGAUCCGAGCAUUAUCCGGAGUGACUGGGUGUAAAGAGUUGCGUAGGUGGCAUAAUAAGUAGCUAGUGAAAUCUGGUGGCGCAACCAUUCAGACUAUUGGCUAAACUGUUAAGCUCGAGAGCGUUAGGGGUAACUGGAAUUUCUAGUGUAGGAGUGAAAUCCGUAGAUAUUAGAAGGAACACCGAUAGCGUAGGCAGGUUACUGGGACGGUUCUGACACUAAGGCACGAAAGCGUAGGGAGCAAACGGGAUUAGAUACCCGUGUAGUC
Molecule: ribosomal RNA, 442 nt
Filed under: uncultured bacterium
Lineage: Bacteria
Description: partial 16S ribosomal RNA
Rfam family: Bacterial small subunit ribosomal RNA
Source: RNAcentral